UACGAAGGGUGCAAGCGUUACUCGGAAUUACUGGGCGUAAAGCGUGCGUAGGCGGUUUGUUAAGUCAGAUGUGAAAUCCCCGGGCUCAACCUGGGAAUGGCAUUUGAUACUGGCGAGCUAGAGUACGGUAGAGGGUGGUGGAAUUCCCGGUGUAGCGGUGAAAUGCGUAGAGAUCGGGAGGAACAUCUGUGGCGAAGGCGGCCACCUGGACCAGUACUGACGCUGAGGCACGAAAGCGUGGGGAGCAAAC
Molecule: ribosomal RNA, 250 nt
Filed under: uncultured bacterium
Lineage: Bacteria
Description: partial 16S ribosomal RNA
Rfam family: Bacterial small subunit ribosomal RNA
Source: RNAcentral